RNAcentral lists this ribosomal RNA (503 nucleotides) under uncultured bacterium. Its description in RNAcentral is "bacterial SSU rRNA". It matches the Rfam family "Bacterial small subunit ribosomal RNA", at positions 791 to 1300 of the family's 1533-position model. The record is from RNAcentral.
UAGUCCACGCCGUAAACGAUGAUUACUCGCUGUAGGCGAUACACAGUCUGUGGCUAAGCGAAAGUUUUAAGUAAUCCACCUGGGGAGUACGAUCGCAAGAUUGAAACUCAAAGGAAUUGACGGGGGCCCGCACAAGCGGAGGAACAUGUGGUUUAAUUCGAUGAUACGCGAGGAACCUUACCUGGACUUAAAUGUAGAUUGCAUAGAGUGGAGACAUUCUUUUCUUCGGACUAUUUACAAGGUGCUGCAUGGUUGUCGUCAGCUCGUGCCGUGAGGUGUCGGGUUAAGUCCCAUAACGAGCGCAACCCCUAUACUUAGUUGCCAGCACAUCAUGGUGGGGACUCUAAGUAGACUGCCUGCGCAAGCAGUGAGGAAGGAGGGGACGAGGUCAGGUCAUCAUGGCCCUUACGCCCAGGGCUACACACGUGCUACAAUGGCGUGUACAGAGGGAAGCUACCUGGUAACAGGAUGCAAAUCUUCAAAGCACGUCCCAGUUCGGAUCG